RNAcentral lists this ribosomal RNA (256 nucleotides) under uncultured bacterium. RNAcentral's name for it is "partial 16S ribosomal RNA". It matches the Rfam family "Bacterial small subunit ribosomal RNA", at positions 524 to 776 of the family's 1533-position model. The record is from RNAcentral.
GACGUAGGUGGCGACCGUUAUCCGGAAUUAUUGGGCGUAAAGGGUGCGUAGGCGGCAUGAUAAGUUAUUGGCGGGAAAUCGAGGCUCAACCUCGUGGAAACUAAUAAUACUGUUUUGCUUGAGUACAGGAGAGGUUAACGGAACUCCAUGUGGAGCGGUAAAAUGUGUAGAUAUAUGGAAGAACAUCAAUAACGGCGAAGGCAGUUAACUAUUCUGCUACUGACAUUGAGGCAUGAAAGCGUGGGGAGCAAAACGG